UUGGGUCUGGUGUUUGGAUGGCCCUGUGUGGAGGCAGGGGUUGCACUCCACGAUCCCUGUGGUCCCUUCCAGCUCAGGAUAUUCUAUGAUUCUGUGAUUGAUUCUAUGAAAUACUUAGCUCAGUAGAUGGGCAAACAGAAGACCACAGGGCUGAUGUUAUGAUGGUAACCAAAGAACAUGCAGAAAGAGGGCUUCACUUCCUGAGCAUCUGCUUGAAAGCAUUUGAGAGCACCUGGCUGAUGCUCUGGACAUUGGAUGCUUUUGGAUAGUUUGAACUGACAUCUGAAAAUGAGACCACCCCCCUCCACCCCACUGUGUGCGUUCACCAUAUUUGCCUGGGGAUUUAACCCAAGGCUUUGUAACCCCUGUGGAGGGGACAGACGUGAACACAAUUCCCUGCUUACAAAGGAGUCAGAUGUUCCGGUGAAAUCCCAAGAUUAAAACAAGCAGCUUCUCAGCCUGGAUUCUGAUGUCAAGAUUUACCGGCAGAUUUUACAAGUCAGAUGCGAGAUGCAGAAUAAUACCUCCAGCAAUGUGGUUUCCUGAAUCUAAACCGCAGCGUAACCACAACAGACAGGAUGAUUGACUAAGUAAUCCCUUCUUGUUCUUUUUCUUUUUGUUUCUCCUACAAAUGAUGCUUCAACUUUGCAUUUUUAUCCCGCUCAUUAAGGAACUGCAACAGAAGUGGAACGGCAAGCGCCUGCCCCAUCCUGCUUUUAACGUGGCCUCUCCUGUCCCUCCAGUUUGGCCCUGUAAUGGGAGGAUGCCAGCUGUGCUGGAUCAUUAAUUUGCAGCCUUCCAAAGCAAUGGCAUUAGCGUGGUGCUCUGCAGUGAGUGGAGCCGGAGGGCAGUUUGCAGUGCGUAUUACUGGAGCCCUGGUGCUGGCUGACGUGAUGCAGCAGUGCAGGGGCUGAUCCUGCACACGCACAGCGCCUGGAGGGAUGGGGCACAGGAGGGCAUCCCAAGAUGCAGAAUGAGGAAUCCUGAUGGGAAGCCAGCAGAGUAGGUGGCGUGAACACAAGGAACAAAAUGGAUAUGAAAUUGUUUGUUUGUUUGCUUAUUAUUUUGGGAGGAGGUGCAGGCAGCUUAAGGGUAAAAUACAGCUGUGGCCCUCCAGAUUUUAACCACAUCUUGUGUUUUGAGGACUCUUCCUCUUUCAAACCCCCCUGGAGACAUCCUGCAGCAUCCGCUCUCCUGAUAAUUCCUCCUCUCCUCGUAAUUCUGGCAAAGCUCUCUCCAAAAUGGGUCACUUCUCCAAAUAAUGAGCGUGGAGCUAUUUUCAGUGACCGCUGUUAUGGGACAAGGGCAUUUAUGUUUUCACACAGCUGGGAGUAAGAUAUGAAGUAUACCAGAGUUUAGGUGUAAGUGGUGCUUCACAUGCCUGCAAGCUGUAAUGGGGAAUUUUGCUGGAAAAUAAACAAAAAAACCCACUGAGACUGGUGCUGUAGAGAUGGAUAAGCACACACACACUGAGAAGGAAGCACAGAGAGAGGGGAAAAUGUCCCCAGAAGAGAACAAGGUACAUUUGUGAAAGACAUCUCUGUGCUAAGUGCAUUAAAAUCAGUA
This is a long non-coding RNA of Numida meleagris (helmeted guineafowl), 1566 nucleotides long. RefSeq lists it as uncharacterized. The record is from RefSeq and is a predicted model, not a curated record. The transcript has 3 exons. Lineage: Eukaryota; Metazoa; Chordata; Aves; Galliformes; Numididae.